This 234-nucleotide ribosomal RNA is filed under the name uncultured bacterium. RNAcentral describes it as "partial 16S ribosomal RNA". It matches the Rfam family "Bacterial small subunit ribosomal RNA", at positions 96 to 334 of the family's 1533-position model. The record is from RNAcentral.
UGGCGGACGGGUGAGUAAUGUCUGGGAAACUGCCUGAUGGAGGGGGAUAACUACUGGAAACGGUAGCUAAUACCGCAUAACGUCGCAAGACCAAAGAGGGGGACCUUCGGGCCUCUUGCCAUCGGAUGUGCCCAGAUGGGAUUAGCUAGUAGGUGGGGUAACGGCUCACCUAGGCGACGAUCCCUAGCUGGUCUGAGAGGAUGACCAGCCACACUGGAAUGAGACACGGUCCAG